UUUUUUUUUUUUUUUCUUAAUUAUAUUUUAAUGGUAAAUGAAAUGGAAAUCUGAAAUGAAGUUUUAGUGAAGUUGGGAAUUUGGAAGAGGGAAGUCAAAAGUGUGAAAAUUUUGGUCGGAAGGGAAGAGUGUUGAUUUUAUGGAAUAAAUCUAUAUUUCAUUCAUUACUUAAUAGAGAUACAAGCCUAUAUAUACCAUAGAGAAAUACACUUAAGGAAAUAAUAUCAAAUAAUAUCUCCAGAAUAAUAUCUCCUAACAAUAAUAUCUCCUAAGAAUAAUCUAAUUAUAUUAAUAGAGAGAUAGGGAGCCAAAUGAAUAGAGCCCUAGAGUUUGAAGCAAACCAUGAAGUUGAUGGGUUACGGAGUUCCAUUUGUAUCAUAUUGUGUAUGUAUUGGGCUUAACAACUAAAGCGUCCAAGGGGUUUGAUACCCUGCAUCUCCAAUUUGUUUUGACUUUUCUACUACUGAAGUGCCCAAACCUUCUAGUUCUAGAACGGGAGUUUUAUUUAUUACAUGAAAAGGGAAUUCGCAGAGUGGGGAAGAACAGAAGUUUUUUGUUCAUCUACUAAUGGUAAGGUUUUUUUUUAAUCAUUUUUUUUAAAGGUCAAAGGUAUUGAUGCUAAAAUUCAAAGGUACUUUUGUAAUGAAGUUCAAAGUUCAUGGGCAUUUUCUAUAACAUAGCCCAAUAUUAUACCUAAUCAGGGUAUAAGUUAAACAAUUGAUGAUAUUAGGCAUUAAGAUUAUUCUAAAGUUCUAAACAAAGGGAGGAUGGACUUUGAGAAAUUACAAGUUCUCUUCUGAUCAUUGGCAGAGAACAUGUUUACAUUUGUGAGCCCUUAAGUUAGAAUAUUAGAACCCUAUUAUACAAGGAUAAAAAUCAUGCACAAGGAUAAGCUAAGGUACAUGUCUUGUGUGUGUAGCAGUUAUGUGUUAUAUUUAACGAAGAAGUUGCCCGUCUUUGGCUUUUAGCAUUAUAGUUAGGCAGAUUUCUUAGAAGUUACGUGUCUGUAUUUUGUGUCUUUGGCUUUGGGCCUUCCUCUUGGGAAUAAUCUGGAGAGUGCAUUUUGGGAUCUGGUGGUGGAUAAAGUCCACAAGAAGCUGGCAUCGUGGAAAAAGGGUUUAUUUUCUAAGGCGGGUCGUCUCACCUUGGUUAAGUCAGUGCUGAAUGGCAUUCUAGUUUAUGUGUUUUCCCUUUCUGAAACUUCAGGGGAGGUGUGUAAGGGUUUGGAAAGGUGUGGAUGAAGGAAAAGGCAAAGGUUUUCAUCUCAUUAGGUGGGAGGUGAUUGAGAAACCUUUGUCUUUAGGGGUCUUGAAAUUGGAAACCUGAGAAAUCGUAACAAAGCCCUUUUGCCAAAUGGCUUUGGCGUUUUUUCAGUGCCCAAUUCUUUAUGGCGUAGGAUUGUUGGAGGUAAACAUGGUCCUCACUCUUUUGAGUGGCUGGAUAAGGGGGUUAAAGGCACUUAGUGGAAUCUGUGGAAAGAUAUCUCGAAAGAGCUCUGAUCUUCUUCCGUGGGUUCGGUAUGUGGUGGGGGAGGGAAGAGAGACGUAAUUCUAGGAAGACCUUUGGGUGGGGGAAAGACUGCUUUUCGGGUUAUUCGCUAGUUUGUAUCACUUGUCUUCUUUGAAAAAUCAUUUUGUGGUUGACUUUUUGGUAUGGAAUGGGAACUCUUGUUCUUUCUCCUUUGGGUUUUGUCAUGCCCUUUCUGAUAGGGAAUCAGCAGACGUGGCAGUUCUCAUUUCCCUUCUUGAGAGCCAUUCUUUCUGUCUCAAGAGGAGAGAUGUGAGGGUUUGGAGUCCUCUUUUGGAGGGAUUCUUGUGUACGCCUUUCUUUGAGUGUCUUGUUAACCCUACCCCUAACCGAAGGUCCUUAGAAAGGUCAGGUUCUUCACGGUUGCCUUAAUACACUGGAUAGGCUAUCCUGGAUUUUGCCUUCGUUGGUCCUUUUUGCUGUAUUUUGUGCUGGAAGGCGGAGGAAGACUUGGAUCAUCUUCUUUGGCAAUUUGAGUUGGCAAGUCACAUUUGGGAUGGUUUUCUUCAACAUUUUGGCCUGUCAAUGCUCAUCAUAGAGAUGCUAGAGGGAUGAUCAAGGGGUUCCUCCUCAAUCCGCCUUGUGGGGAAAGAGGUCGGUUUUUUUGUGUGUGCUUGUGUUGUUUGUGCAAUCUUGUGGGUUCUGUGGGAUGAGAGGAAUAGGAGGGUGUUUAGGGGAGUUGGAAGGGGGAGGCGGGAGAUUUGGUCGGUUAUUCGGUAUCAUGAUUCUCUUUGGGCUUCAAUUUCGAAGAUUUUUUGCAAUUAUCCUCUUGACAUGAUUUUGUGUAGUUGGGCCCCCUUCCUGUAAUGGGGUUCCCUGUCUUUUGUGGGCUUGGUUUUUUGUACGCCCGUGUAUUCUUUCAUUUUUUUCUCAAUGAAAGCUGUUUAUUUCAAUAAAAGAAUCUGGGUUUCGACAAUCAUAGAAAAUGUGUAGCUUGUAUUUGAUUAUAUAGCCUAUGCAAUAGUGAAAUUUUCUCGUAGGUGAAGGCAAUAUUUAAUGUCUGGCUACUUAGUUUUGUGUAGUCGUAAAUAUUUCUCGUGGCCUAACUGUAUCUGUUGUUGUUACCCUUCCAUCCCUUUUUUGUCAGGCAAAGAUCCCAGACAUAAAGAAGUGUUUGGAUAUAGUUGCUACUUUACAAGCAAAGAAGGAGGCAGCCACUGGUGAGGUUCGUUUUUUGUCUUCCAUAGUUUUGGUUAUUUAUACCAUGUUACAGAUUUGUGGCAAUAAAUUGCCCUAUAAUAUAAUCUCUCUUUUUCUUUCUUUUUUGUCUCUUUUCAUUUCCUCAAUGAAAAGUAGUCUCUAAAAAAAUAGAAAAACAUUAUCUCAUAUUAAAAUUUAUUUUUGAAGCAGCUGUUUUACAUAAUUUCCUUGGGUGCUUGCUUUCCAGAAGUGAGAUGCACGUGUCAAUUUUUUUCCCUUUUAACUUAAUUUUUAAAAGAAAUAAAUAUGAUUGCUAAAAACCUAUACAUAUUGGGAAAAGAUCAAUUUUUGCCCCUGAACUUUUGGGGUUGUACCAAUUGUAUUGAACUUUUGUAAGUAUAUUAAUUUUCACUCUCCAUCAGAUUUUCCUUGAAAAACAUUGUGUGAAACUUGUAAUUAUAUUAAUUAAACCUCUAUAUUGUCAUAAGUAAAUCAAUUUAUAUUAUUAUCAAAAUCAUGAUUGUGAACUUUUUUGAAUAUCUGAUUAACGAAAUAGACAAUUAGUAUUGAUCCCGGGAGGAUUUCAUUUUCAAAGGAAAUUCUAGUUGAGAAUCGCGAAUCGCGAAUGAAAGUCUAAAUUGUUUUAUUUAAAAAGUCAACUUUUUUUUAGUACUACUCCCUUGUGAUUUCCUGGUGAAAAAGAUGAAAGGAGAGAGGGAAAAAAGCACCUGGCUGCACAAGUUUCAUUAAUCUAUUACUCUAAAGAACCCAUUAUUUAAUUUUAUUAAUUUUUCACGCUGUAUGUGCAUCCAUCUCUUUCAAUGAAAUUGUAGUUUAUAUGCAGUUCUCAUAAUCUAAGAUGAUAAAAUUGAAGAUCAAAGGCUGUAACAUAGGAAUCUGAUAGAGCUUACUGAAUGAUUAUUAAUUGCUAAAGUUAAAGUAAUGACUAUCGCUUGCUGUUGAGUAGCCUUAGCUAGCCAGGUGGCUUGUGGAUUGUUGUUAUGCUGUCAGAGCAAACUUCUACUUUUAAAGUUCUAAGCAGCAUCGAGUUAUGGGAUUUCCUUUCUUUUACCAGCUUAAAUUAGAAUUUUCUUAAGAUCUGUUUAUCUUUUGCUAUCAUGCACAGCCACUUGUAGCAGAUUUUGAGAUCUCUGAAGGCAUAUAUUCUCGGGCGCGUAUCGAGGAAACUGACUCAGUUUGUCUGUGGCUUGGUGCAAAUGUCAUGCUGGAUUAUUCAUAUGAAGAGGUUACAGAUAUUUCUAAAGAAAAUUCCCUUGAAUUAUUUUCUCCAUUUCUUAUCCAAUUUUGGAAUAAAGGACACUAGUUAUGGCUGUUUUCACGUUUGCUGGUGCAGGCCAUAACCCUUCUACAAAAGAAUCUGGAUAAUGCUAAAGCGAGUUUAGAAGUUCUUGUUGCCGAUCUACAGUUUUUGAGGGACCAGGUGACAAUAACUCAGGUAACCAACUCUUUCUAUUGCAAACUAGUCUUGGUGAAAAUUUUGUGCUCGAAAAACCAUAACAAUGUGAAAGCUUCCUUUUGAAAGAUAGGCAUUAUAAACCAUUGUUUAGAAACUCUUAACUCCGCAGGAUUUGAAGUCAUUUAACUUACAACUCUGCAGCUAAAGUUGUUGGAAUUUGCAUGAAAUGAAUGUGGACUAGGAAGACAUUCAAAUUCUCAACUUUUUUCUAAUUUGGAUGCCAUAUUAUCCAAAACUCAAUGUUGUCUUUCAAAUCCUAGCAUUUUGUUGUAGGCAGCCAAUCAUACUAUAUAGUUUUAAGUUAUACAAUAUUCAUAUCAAGUAAAAAGGAUAAACUACAAGUUUAAUCUUCAUGGCAUUGGUGUUGUGUCGGAAGGGUUUCUAGGGUUUUUUUUCUAGUACAAUUACGAUGUGGGGAUUGAAUCUCCGACCCUCAAGGACAAAAGUCAUGUCAAUACUAUCUACCCAAGCUCAUAUAUGUUAAAUUCACCAUAUUAUUAGAUCAAAAUUCAAUUUUAUGUCUAGUUUAAUGUUUUAAGCGUGACAUUUUGCUACUCAUCAGGAUACAAACCACGAUAAACAAACAACUUUCAAAGUGUCAUUGUUAGUGAAUCACUAAUUUGUUAAAAUUCUGUAAGCAGGUGACAAUAGCUCGUGUUUACAACUGGGACGUUCAUCAGCGUCGAGUUCAGCUAGCUGGCGCCAGUGUAGAAGACUCAUAAGUUUUCAUGGGCAGCCCUAAAAAAUUCCAUUGUUGGCAGAGAAUCCAUUUCCUGAUUGGCAGUUCCGUCUUGAUCCAUACCUUUUGAAUUUAGGCCGUUCAAAAUUUCCCUUUCUUGUCAUUGUCAAUGGACAGUGAACCUUUUCAUUCGUGGGUUCUGAUCGCACCUACACUUUCACAUAAUACUCCCCAUAACCAAAAAAAAAGGCAAAAUCAUUGUAGAAGAGAAGUGAUGCGCACUGAUGCCUAUAUCUAGGAUGAGUUUUCCCCCCUCUUUUAUUUAUAUCUAUAUAUAUUAGGAAGCAUUUUGUGCCUUUGCCUGUUUUUACAUUUGUUAGAUUCUGUUGUAAUUUUCAAAGUGAUGGGCGUCUUGGUUGUGUGUUAUUUAGGGGUUUUAUAACUUUCUAUCUAAAUUGUGAUUGUAAAAUUGAAUAUUCAAGCGAUUGGGUUUGAGAAAUUACGAUAGUUGUGUGUUUGUUCUUAAAAUCUUUCAAUCCUCUAAUUAUGUUUGUAUUCCCUUUCUGUUAACAUUGUGAUUUGAGGUAUUUUUAACUUUUGAUGUGCCUUAAAACAGUUGGUAUCUAUAUAUAUAUGUAUAUAUAUAUAAUUCAAACUGUAAUAUAUACUCUGUUUUAGAAGCAAUGAAUUUCCUUUUCGUGGAUCUUCCAUUGUCUAAUUGUCUGGCCCCUUUUUCCUCUGUCUCUAUUUGUAUCUUCCCUUUCGACUAUUCUUCUUUUACCAACUUCCAAAUUAGCCAAUUUUUUACUUACAAAUUUAACCUUUUUUUUAAUUCAACCAAAGACGUGAGAGAUUUAAACUUUUGAUUUGUUUGAUUCAAGAUAUAUACUUUUGAUUCGAUUUGAACUUUUCAUUUAACAAGAUAUAUAUCUUAAUUAGUUAAUUAGUUGACUUAAGAUCCACUGUAUAAUAUCCUUUCCUUUAGCAUGGUGAAAUUUCUGUUGUAUUAAAUAUGUAAAUGAAGAAAUCAAACAAAAAUUAACAAAAAUUUGAAAUUUGAAAUUUGAAAUUUGAAAUUGAAAUUGAAGAAGGGAAAGAAAAAGAAAUAAGAAAAUAAAACAAAAAGUGGUUUGAUGAUGUCAAAGGGGAUAUAAAAUUAAUUUAGAAGUUCCUAAAAAGGGUUGUAAGAUCUGGAAGCUUAUGAAAAUGUUUCUUAUGUAUUAUUACGAUGGUUGAUGAUGGGUCAGUGUGAAAAUUAUUCUACUUUUUGACUCCUUACGACUCUAAGAUCAUCUUAAAAUCAUCAACACCAAAUUAAUAAUAAUAAAAAGAAGAAUCAUUUCACUUUUGAAAUCCAAACCUUAUAUUUAUAUUCUGCUUUUAGUUGUUUCUUUUCCUUUUCCUUUUUUUGUUUUUGAGUAAUUAUAGUUUUCGUGUUUGUACAGUGAAAUUGAAUAUGCAAUUCGGCUGAGUUUGUUUUCAGACGAUGAACUAAAAGUGGGUUUCAAUUGGAAUUAUUCAUAGCAGCUUAAGAAAAACGUAUAAGAACUUCCCUUACUUUUUCCUAAGCGACCUUUGAGGCAACUAAGUGUUGUUUACUUUAGUCUUCAAGUCUUGAAAUUUGGAGUAUUUUUAUUUCGUUAAUUGUACGGAUGAAAAAUGCAUUUACGCAUGUAAAUUUAAUCAUUAAAUCAAUUUCAAGCGAUGUAAAGUUUGUUUUCGAGUGAUUUCAAGUAACACGCUAAUGAAUUAAUUAAUAAAUCGUGAGAUGUUAACUUCGUUUCUUGUUUAAUUUGAAGAGUUAGUGGUUGAUUAUAACUAUAAGAAUAUCAAUUUCAUAUCUUAUUAUUUCUCGACUGUGUGGGUCUUACGACUUUCCAUUCAAGGCUUCGUCUCAAAUAAUGUCCCCUUAAUGCUUUUGACUUGUACUAAAGCUUUUUUGGGAUUAUUCAAUACAUUAUGUUACUUUUUGAAACCAUUGAAAUUUACUUUUAUGUUGGGUCUGUGGAGACCCAAAUUGUAAAUAAAACCAAUGGAUAUUUUCUUUUCAGGUAGAGAGAGAUUUCCUUUUGCUCUCUUUUUGGGAAAGAGAGUAAAUUUUAAGGUCCUUUUUCUAAAAGAUAUGGAAAGUGUUCUCUUAUGUGAGAGUCAACAAAAGAGAGAGUUCUUGGUACACUUUCUUUUUACAAAAUUGCUUAUUGAUUAAUUACAAACAGAUAUUAAAUUGAAAGAUUUUAGGUACACCCAAUUAACCAUAACUCAAUUAAUCAAUACACACGUAACUUUCAAUAAUAAGAGGGUAGAGUUAUGAAUCGUCGUAAUAUAUGAAUUUUUGAAAAAAAUUAGAACUAGUUGUAAUAUUAAAAAAACUUUUUUAUGUACUCUUGAAUUUGAAAUCAAGUAUCUAUUGCAAUGUGAAAGAGAUGAAAAAAAUAUGAUAGCAUAUCAAUAAUUUCUUUUAUUAAUGUGAACGUGAGUUAAUUAGGUUUAAAUCCUUCUUUUUUGUCCUAAGGAUUUUCACGUUUGUUCCGUGUUGGUCUAAAUUUCCUAUUUUGUUCCAUUUUAGUACGUAAAUUCUAAAAUAUUUAUUUCAAUUCUUGAAUUAUAACGUUAGUUUUACUUUAGGUUAAUCCUUGAACAUUUUUAAUUAAAAACAAUUUUAUGCUUGUAUCAAACUAUGUGGUUUCGAAAUCACUCAUAUUAACGUGCUAAGUACAUGUAAAUGCACAUCAUAUUAGCAUAUAUCAUAACCAAUUAAACUAUAUAUUCGAAAAACAUCAAAUUUUAAUCGUCUCAAAUUAAAUUUGAACGCACGUUUGCUUCCAUAGUAAAGUUUUAUUAUUAAAUUCUUCCAUAAUUUCCUAUUUUUACCUAUAGUUUUUUUUUCUGAAAGAUAGCUUUUUGGAUUAUGUAAGAAAAAGAAAAAGCUCAUGAAUUCAUAUAUUUUUCUUUAUUUUAUUUUUUUUGAAAAAGACAAGAAAGAAAGAAAAGUAAAAAUAAAGUAAAAGAAGAUGAAAGAAACUUCAAAAGUGUUCAUUGGAUAUUCUUUGUAUUAUUAAUUGUUGAUUCUUAUACUAAAUAAUUAUUAUAAUUAUUUUCCUUUUCUUAGACAUUGAACAACAAAAAUUUCACACUUUUGCAUAGAAUUAAAAGAACUCUUUCUUUAUAGUCUCUCACUUAAAUAAUUAAAAUUUUCCUUUAUCAAAGUCCAACCUUUAUAAAAAAAUUUACCCAUUUUUUUUUUUCAAAAUAGUUCAAAAAGAUAUAUAUAUAUAUAUACAUCUUUAUCCCCAUACUUUAGCAUAAUUAAAUUUGAACAGUAUACUUUUAAAAGUUUUAAUUAAGUCUGCGAUCUUUUUCUUUAACUAAAGUCUAAAGGUGUAUAUUAAUAAAAAUAAUAAUAAUUGAAAUUCAAUGAGAUAAGUUAUUGAUUAAACUUUUAAUAUAAACUCUACCAAUAGGACAUUUUAUUUCAUUAACAUAGGGUGUAAUGAUUUAUCAUAAAAAAUGAAGAAAAUAAAAGAAAGAUAACCCUAAUAUAUACUAUUUUUUAACGUACCAAUAUUUGAUUUCUAUGUUUCUUUUUUCACAAAUAAACAAAUAAAAAAGCUAUUAAUUAGUAGGCUCACUAAUUACGAAAUGAACAUUUGAUCAUACGAACUUUCAAUCAAUUAGAAUCAUAAGACAGUUAAAACCAUUAAUUAAGAACUAAUAAAAAUGAAAAUAUCAAAAAGAAGAGUCUUACUUAAUAUUGUAAUUAUAGGAUAACCAUGGUAAAAGUGAAAGGUCGUCAAUCUUUCCGACGAUAGUAAUUAACAUUUUAUCCCGUGAAUUAACUUCGAAUGAAAAUUAACCUAAAAUAAAUAAAUAAAUAAAUAAAAGAUUAAAGUAUCAUUUUAAUUCUUUUAAUUCAGGGUUGGAAAUAAUAACUCUAAUUUUUUCUGAUUGAAAAAUAGAAUGCUCAUAUAAUAAUAAUAAUAAUAAAAGUUAUAAAUUCCAGUAUUAACUAUUAAAAAAAUUGUUUUAAAUGAUAUAUAUUAGAAUGAGGUGGAGAUAGAAAAGAAAUUUUGCUGUCCUAAUAAAUAGAAAAGGAGGGUAAUUUAGUAAUUUGAUUUGGAAGAUAGGAACCGACCUCUCAUUGACAUUUGUGAAGAAGAUUGAUGUUUCCCAAUUAAAUCAAAGCUUCAAUUUCAACCCUUUUUUUUCCCUUUCUUUGUCACAUUUCUUUGACACACUUUUUAUUUUCAUUACUGCAUUUCUAUGUGUGUAUUUUCUUUUAUCAAUAUAAUGUAUAUUUAGUCCACCAAGAAAUAUUCAAAUGGAAUACGUCCAUAAGUUUAUGCAAUAUAAUUAGUAGAGCUUUUAUCUCUAUUUUUCCUUUUGAUUUUUUUGAAUGACAUGUUCUCUCUAAAUCUCUACUUAUUCAUGAAGUAACUUUAUCUAAUGUGGUUUGAACAUUUUUGGAUGCGAUCGAAGUUGUCAAACAAUUAAAAAAAAUAUUUAAGAAAAAUUAAUUAAAAUAAUUAAGAAACUACAUUUAACUUUCUAAAAAGAUGCUAAUUUAAUCAACUAUAUGAUAAUUAAAAAUGUGACAUAUUGAUUAUUUUUUAGGAAAAAUGGAAGCUAUGACUUUAAAGUUGACAGUACAACUUAAUUUUAGACUAAUUAAGUUUAAGCGAGCUUAGCAUAUUGAUAUUGACACGAAUUUCAUCCCCAUAAGUCAAAAGUUCAAUCUCACGCUCUAUAAUUGUUAUACUUAAAAAAAGAUUAAAAAAUACUUAAUAAUUGUUUCCAUCGUUAUAAUUGAUAUAUUUCAUCCGAGUUUAUUAUUAUCUUGAUCACCGAGUUUUCAAAUUAGACAUUAUAACACUUCAAGUUCGAGCACAAUAUCAUUUUGGUCGAUCAUAUGCACCGUUCGUGUUUCAUUGUACCUAAUAGAAGCUUACAUGUUUUCUUUAAUUUUAAAAAUAGUUUUAUCUCUCUCUCUCUCUUUAAUUCAAAAACACUAUAAACAACAUUGGUUGCUCUUAGCUACCUGCUCCACGUUGACACUCUCCAAUCUCAAUCAAUAUAUAUAUGAAAUAAAAAAGACAUUAUAUAGUUUAUAAUUGACUUAGGGUUCAAUGGUUUGAAUCCAAUUUAAGUUAUACAUAUAUACAUACAUAUGUAUAUAUAUAUAUAUAUAUAUAUAUUAAGGUCACGGGUUAUUGUAUUGUAUCUUUCAAUGCCAUCUUUUGAUUAUUUUUUUGGAUUCUUCACAAAUCUAUUUAGCUUAGUUUUGACUCAUUCUUCCCCUUUCAUUAUCAAAUUAUAUUUUAAUUUAUAUAUCAAAGUUGCUCAAUAAAAAAAUCAACUGUAUUUAUUUAAUUUAAAAUAAUAAUAUUGCAAUUCAUUUUAAAUUUUAAGUUGACCAAGUCUUUUGUCAAUUUAUUAGUAAGGAUUUUGUCUUACAACUUAAUUUUAAUUAAUAACACAUGUUAGAGUCAAAAUUCAACUUACUACUUCAUUAUCUUAUCUGUAUACCACUGCACAACAUUUAACUUAUUUAUUCUUCAUAAUCAUUUAACUUUAAUUAGUUGAAUAGCAUAUACACGUGCUAGUGUAGUUAUCCACGAUUUAAUGAAUUAUGUCAACUUUUUAAAAUACGAGAUAAAAACAAUAUUUUGUGUUUGUUUUGGAUUUGAUUUUAGGUCGAGAAUAAAAAUUCAUAGCGUUAUAGAUAUAAGAGAUAAUAUAUACACGUGUUUGAAAAUGUAUCGAAGUUCCGUCCUAUUAAACAUACUACAUGUAUUAACAAUAAAUGUGUGAACGUUCAGUUGGACAAAUAUUUAAAAUUGAGUUAUUAUUAUAAUAUUUUUGUUAAAGAAAUAUCAAAUGUUAAACCUUGCGAGCUUAAAUUUGUCGUAUGGUUUAUAUAUUUCAAAAUGUUAUAUAUACUUAUACAUAGUCCUUAAAUUUUGAAUUUGUUUUCAAAUUUAAUUUUAAUAUAAUGUUUGAAAAUGUUAUAAUUUUUGUUAUAGAUAUUUGAGUUUUAUUUUAAUUUAGACUUUUAAUCACACUUCCUCAUUAUUAAAUAAAAAUGUAAAAUUAAUUUUAACGGCAACAAAGAAAAACAGUAAUAUCUUAAAAAAAAUCUUUAAAAUUAAGUAAUAAGCAUUAACACCAGUAUGCAUCUUCGUAAAAAUUAAGGUUAAAAACGUAAAAUAUCAAAUUUACGAACCAAAUUUAAAGAAUAUAAACAACAAAAAAUAUAUAAUUCUUUUUCUUAAAACCAAAUUUCAUGUCAGUUGAACUAUAUCUAGAAGUAACGUAAACCUUACGCUUAAAGGAAAAAAAAAAAAAGAAGAAGAAAAGUGAUUGAUGAGAAGGACAAAAUAUUAUUUAGAGAUGUCGGAGAACCCAAAAGGAAAACGAGAUGUCGUCUUCAGUCUUUCACAUUCGCCGUUUCUCUCUCUCUAUUCCUACUUGUCGUUUUUGUUAUAAUUAGACGGUGUCGUUUCCAUGACACUCCUCCACAUUACGCGUUUUCACUGCCCACUACUACCCUUCUAAUUUCUUUUUAAAUAAAAUGAAUUAAAUUUAAACCAUAAUUAAUUGUGUUGACUUUGACUUUCUUCAAAUAAAAAGAAUUUUUGUUUUGAAAUUAAUUUUCAAAGUUGGGCUUUUCAAAUUCAUAAAUAAAUAAAUUUAAUUUAAUUUUAGAUAGCUUCAAAAUGCCGCAAUUAUCGCUUAUUUUUUGGUUUAAUUAAUAAAUAAACAUAUGGCUCUCAAAUUUUGAUUUAGGGUCAACGGGUUAGGUUCCCACAAAAUAUAUAUUAAUUAUUCUUUAGAUUUCUUUUUCACUCAAAAGAGUUUUUUAUUUUUAUUUUUAUUUUUAUUUUUAAUUUUAAAUUUUUAAUAUUUGAAAUGAAAUAACUACUCAACUAACCCAUUAUACACACUUCCAUAACUAGCACUUUUAAAUUAACCCAUUCUCAUUUUUUUCUUUUCAAUUCAUCAUAAUAUUAAUAAUAACAGUAUCAAACCUCAAAAAAAAAUAUUAGGUGGUAAGGUUUUUGUAAUUUGUAAUAUAUAUACACACCAUUUUUCAAAUUCUUUUUUAUCGAAACUUAUAAAUUGAGAUAACUUUGAGUUUCUAAAAUUUUUUACGUUAUUUAUAAAAGAAAAUUUAUGUAAUUAAGGGGUUAUAUUUCUGUCAUAACUUUUCUUAUUUAAUUACUCUAUUAUAUGUCAACGACCUAAAAUCAUAAUAUAUAAUAAAUAUGUAGUUAUAGAUUAUUGAGUUAUACAUCUUAUUUUUAAUUUAUUUUUGUGCAUGAACAAUCAUUUUAAUUACAAAAUAUAUAUAAUUUGUCCCCUUUUUGUUGUGUUUUUAGGCAGUGAUAAUUAUUAUUAAUAUUUAGUCAUUUCAGUAUGACAUAGUGACCAUACUAUUUUUGUCAAAUGAAUGGUUUUCUUUUUUUGUUUUAAGAAUGUCAACCAAUUAACAAUUUUUUUUUUUUUUGUAAAUAAAGUGAAAGAAGUUUGGUUCAUCUUUGGUUUUCUUUAGAAACACAUAAAAUAGAUAAAGAGGUUAAGAUUGGACCAAAAUAAAUGAAUAAAUAAUAAAGUGUUUUUGUUUUUGUUUUAGAAAAAAGCAUUGACUCUCCAAAUGAAGUGAUUUGAUAAAGAAGGAUGAUGUGAAGUUGUCACUACAAAUUAAAACACUUUAGAUAGUCUAACUUCCAUUCAAAUCUUCCAUAUGACUCCAAAUUUCUUUUCAAAAGCUUUUUAUUUAUUAAAAUUUAUGAGAUAAACAAUUCCCAAUUUUUUAUUUUGUUUUUGUGUUUGGGUUUGAGUGGGAAGUUGUGUUCUUUUAUACUUGUUUGUUUCUUUGUUUUUUUAGGGUUGGCCAAAGUUGUAUUUUAAGCAAAAAGUUGGAGUGUUCAUUACACAUGCAUGUGCUACAAAAAUGUUUUCAAAUAAUCAAAAAAUUUAACCUAUAAACAUUUUUUCUCAUCAAAUAAAAUUCUUCAAAAUUUUUUAGAUCUAUCACUAAAAGAUAUCGAUAAAUUAAUAGACAAUAAUAUAAGUCUAUCGAGUAUAUAUACAUAUCAUGAAUAUAAUUUGAAUUUUUACUAUAUUUUGCAUUGUUCUUUCUUUUAAAUUCUUGAGGUAAUACAAGUUUAUUUCAAAGUUUCUUAUACUAACUUUGAGUCAAACUAUUUUUUUAGAAAAAGAAAACAAUUUAAAAUUAUUUGUCUUUAUUUUCUUUUUGAACAAAUUAAUGGUAUAACAUUAAGAGUCGACUUGGAUGGACUUAAAAAUGUUUUUCAAAAACAUAUUUUUAUUUUAAAUAUUUUCGGUGCUAAUAAUAAUAAUAAAUACAAAUAUUAGUAUGGUUGCCAAAAACGUUUUAGAUUUUUAAAAUUAAAUAUUUAAACAUCUCACUUAUGUGCCUUUACAAGUUAAUAUGAGUAUGAUUUCAAAUGAAAAAAAUAGGAUAGGUAUAAACUAAAGUGAUAAUUCCCUAAAAGUUAGGGACAAAAAAUGGCAGAAUGUACAAUAUACACUACCAAAGUUGAAAUAACAAAAAUGAAAUAGAAUUAAUAGUUCAACAAUCAAAUUUUUAUCUAAUAGAAUGAAUAUUAAUCAUAAAAUCAAUAAAUAAAAAACAAUUAAAAGAAAAAAAAGAGUAUCCAGUAACAAAAGAAAUCAGAAUUUAUCAAUUAUGUUAUAUUAGUUGAAUUGCUAAUUUUAUUCGUCUAGAAAAAAGGAUGGGGGUAUAAAUGUAAUUUAGUGCAGUAAUACCAAGUGGAAAAGUAGUGGGCCAAGUGGUUUCUUAGGCAAAGGCCCACUUCCCCGGAACAGGACCAUCUAAUUUAACACUCUUUUAUUAAUUAAUUACCAAAUAUAUUAAUUCUCUUUUCUUUUUAUUAUUAUUAUUAUUUUCUAUUCUUACAUUUUCUUUCUCAAUUGGCACUGAAAGAACACCUACGUAACGCCGCACGUGCCGAACUCCCCCUAAAUUCAUUGUUUAAAUAAUAAUAAUAAUAUAUAAAAGUAUUUACAAAACAAAAUUUUAUACUUUAUAUUGAUAUCAAUUUUGAUAAAUUUUCAUAUUUAUCUAUUAGAAUAUCAUAUUUUGUUUUAUUUUCUUUAUUAAAAAGUAAAUUUAUGGUCUUCUUAAAUGUACAUGUAUGGUUCACAUAAAUAAGAAUACGAAUAAAAUUUGGAUAUUGCUUAUUUAGGUUGAAGAACUGUAUUUAAUUUUUUUAAAUUAGAGAAUAAAUACAUCAUUUAGAAAGCUUAUUCUAUGGGAAAGCAUUUUUAAGUUGAGUAAAGAAUAAAAAUGAUUGAAAUAGAUUAGGUAGAAUCUACAAUACUAUUCAAAAUAAAGUACUUAAAUCAUCCUAUUGUUUAGGUUAUUACAAUUAUUUUAGCCUAUAAGCAAAAUAAAUAAAUAAACAUUAUCACACUUUUUUAAUUAUGCUAUUUUUCCCAUUAUUGGUUUAUUAAUGAUCAAAUUGAUUGAGUCUUCCAUUUGUAUUUCGUACACUUUCUAAUACAUGAUUAGGUUAAAAAGAAUUGAUUGAAGCAUUUACACCACCAUCUCUCAAUAUAUAACCUUUUAUUUAUAUUUUAAACUUAUUAUUUCAAAACCCUAAAUCAUUAUAUUAGCAUGAAAUAAAUAAAGUGAUAUAAUGGUUAAUUUGACAUUUUCUUUCACGUGAUAAUGAAAAAGUAUUUCAUCUCACAAACGAAGAUUCGAUUCUAUUCUAUUCUCGUCUCUUUCGUAUACUAAGAAUAUACCCAUUAUUUAACUCUAAAAACAAAAGACCCAUUUAAUUAAACAACCCCUAAAUCCUACCUACAUUUUUUUGUAGUGGUUUUGUAGUGUGAUACUAUUAGUCACAUUGAUUGAUAUUAAAUUAAGUUUUAAAUGAAUUUUUUAAUCCAAUUAAAUUAUGUUUUUGAUGAGAUUUAUGUGUGAAUAUGCACGUUUUUCAUUAUUUUGUUACAUUAAUUAAUUGAUAAGGUUUUCUUGAAAAACAAAAUAAAUUUUAAUAGUUAAUUGGGGUUGCUAAUUAAUAAAAAAAAGUUGUAAUAGAUUUGCUUGGUUGAAUAUAUAAUAUAUAGUUAAUGCAAGCAAAAGUUUCAUAAAAUUAGAAAGAAAGAAAGAAAAGAAUAUACAUGGAUCGAUAAAUGUAUAUAAUUAUUUAAGAAAUUAAACCCACACAGAUAACAUGAUAACAAAUUAUAUAUAAAUAUAAAAAAAUGAAUUGUAUUUGUUAUGCCUACGUGUACACGGCCAUUAAGAAUCUAGUUUACACUGGAACCGGUUAACCGGUCAAAACUACGCGUUUUAUCAGUCUCCCUUUUGGCCAGUCCUCUCUCAUUAAUUGCGAACACCAAUCAAGUCACUCUUCUUUCUAUGCCCAUUGUUUACCGGCAUCUGUCAGUCAUCCAUCCUAGGUGGGAAAACUUAC
This 15292-nucleotide long non-coding RNA is filed under the name Cucumis sativus (cucumber). RNAcentral's name for it is "long non-coding RNA (CSAT_LNC000956)". The record is from RNAcentral. Lineage: Eukaryota; Viridiplantae; Streptophyta; Magnoliopsida; Cucurbitales; Cucurbitaceae.